Molecule: ribosomal RNA, 253 nt
Filed under: uncultured bacterium
Lineage: Bacteria
Description: partial 16S ribosomal RNA
Rfam family: Bacterial small subunit ribosomal RNA
Source: RNAcentral
UACAGAGGGGGCAAGCGUUGUCCGGAAUUACUGGGCGUAAAGGGCGCGUAGGCGGCUUGUUAAGUCGAACGUGAAAUCCCUGGGCUCAACCCAGGAACUGCGUCCGAUACUGGCAGGCUUGAAUCCGGGAGAGGGAUGCGGAAUUCCAGGUGUAGCGGUGAAAUGCGUAGAUAUCAGGAGGAACACCGGUGGCGAAGGCGGUUCUCUGGGCAUGUCCUGACGCUGAGGAGCGAAAGUGUGGGUAGCAAACAGG